GUAGGUUGCAAGCGUUGUCCGGAUUUACUGGGUGUAAAGGGCGUGUAGGCGGAGGCGCAAGUUGGGAGUGAAAUCUAUGGGCUCAACCCAUAAACUGCUCUCAAAACUGUGCCCCUUGAGUAUCGGAGAGGCAAGCGGAAUUCCUAGUGUAGCGGUGAAAUGCGUAGAUAUUAGGAGGAACACCAGUGGCGAAGGCGGCUUGCUGGACGACAACUGACGCUGAGGCGCGAAAGCGUGGGGAGCAAA
This 246-nucleotide ribosomal RNA is filed under the name uncultured bacterium. RNAcentral's name for it is "partial 16S ribosomal RNA". It matches the Rfam family "Bacterial small subunit ribosomal RNA", at positions 527 to 772 of the family's 1533-position model. The record is from RNAcentral.